UCCCUGGUGGUCCAGUGGUUAAGACACUGUGCUUUCACCGCAGGGGACACAGGUCCAAUCCCUGGUCCAGGAA
Non-coding RNA from Bos taurus (domestic cattle), 73 nucleotides. The record is from Rfam. NCBI's taxonomy places the organism in Eukaryota, Metazoa, Chordata, Mammalia, Artiodactyla, Bovidae.